The sequence is a transfer RNA, 72 nucleotides long. It matches the Rfam family "tRNA". From Rfam's summary of the family: Transfer RNA (tRNA) molecules are approximately 80 nucleotides in length. Their secondary structure includes four short double-helical elements and three loops (D, anti-codon, and T loops). The record is from Rfam.
GCGCUGUUAGCUCAGUGGGAGAGCACUUGCUUGACAGGCAAGGGGUCACAAGUUCAAAUCUUGUACAGCGCA